AGGAGAAACUCGAAUAUUUUUGAGGUCGCUGACGAGUCUACUAUUAUCGGAGGCCUUGGGUGCUGAGGCUACAGGUGAGAACCAUCUACUGUAGAGACUCGGAUGAAGACUUUCUGUUGGCGAAGUCCAGUAAGAGUCCAAAAUCUAGGGAAGUCCAUCUAGGGUUUGCCUGAUGCGGAAGCUCGUCUGAAGAUUAUCCACCAGAGGAGUCCAGUUUCAUGAGGAAUCUGGCAGAAGGUCGGCCGAUGGUGGAUUUUGGAUGGCAUUGGGGAGGCUCGUCUGCUGAAGGAAUCUGAAGGA
Molecule: long non-coding RNA, 300 nt
Filed under: Elaeis guineensis (African oil palm)
Lineage: Eukaryota; Viridiplantae; Streptophyta; Magnoliopsida; Arecales; Arecaceae
Description: long non-coding RNA (EGUI_LNC075402)
Source: RNAcentral